GAGAAUUUAUCUGGCUCAGGACGAACGCUGGCGGCGUGCUUAACACAUGCAAGUCGAGCGGUAAGGCCCUUCGGGGUACACGAGCGGCGAACGGGUGAGUAACACGUGGGUGAUCUGCCCUGCACUUCGGGAUAAGCCUGGGAAACUGGGUCUAAUACCGGAUAUGACCAAGGACUGCAUGGUUUUUGGUGGAAAGGUUUACUGGUGCAGGAUGGGCCCGCGGCCUAUCAGCUUGUUGGUGGGGUAAUGGCCUACCAAGGCGACGACGGGUAGCCGACCUGAGAGGGUGACCGGCCACACUGGGACUGAGACACGGCCCAGACUCCUACGGGAGGCAGCAGUGGGGAAUAUUGCACAAUGGGCGAAAGCCUGAUGCAGCGACGCCGCGUGAGGGAUGACGGCCUUCGGGUUGUAAACCUCUUUCAGCAGGGACGAAGCGAGAGUGACGGUACCUGC
This 456-nucleotide ribosomal RNA is filed under the name Rhodococcus koreensis. Its description in RNAcentral is "bacterial SSU rRNA". It matches the Rfam family "Bacterial small subunit ribosomal RNA", at positions 8 to 482 of the family's 1533-position model. The record is from RNAcentral. Lineage: Bacteria; Bacillati; Actinomycetota; Actinomycetes; Mycobacteriales; Nocardiaceae.